CCCUACGGGGUGCGGGCUGCCUCGGCGGCAAACGUAAGCAUAGAGGCGAUGGGCAUAGAAAUAAAGCGCGCCUAUAUGAAACGGAAGAACAAAACGGAAAAGAGCACGCAGCGGCGCGCACUAAACCCGGCCAGAACGGCGCAGCCUGCCGAGAGGGGCAUGCGGUACGAGGAUAUCGUAUCGGCGAAGGCGGAGGAAGGCUUGCUGUCGAUCCUCAUUUCGGCGCCUGAGUAUAUAGAAAAAACUAUGAAACUGCUUUCAGUGCAAGACUUUUCAGUUCCGUUUCUGGGAAAGAUGUUUGAAAAGCUUGGAGAAAGGAAUGGCGGGGGGGC
RNAcentral lists this ribosomal RNA (332 nucleotides) under uncultured prokaryote. Its description in RNAcentral is "partial 16S ribosomal RNA". The record is from RNAcentral.